ACCAGACUCCUACGGGAGGCAGCAGUGGGGAAUAUUGCACAAUGGGGGGAACCCUGAUGCAGCGACGCCGCGUGGGUGAAGGAGUAUUUCGGUAUGUAAAGCCCUAUCAGCAGGGAAGAACAAUGACGGUACCUGACUAAGAAGCACCGGCUAAAUACGUGCCAGCAGCCGCGGUAAUACGUAUGGUGCAAGCGUUAUCCGGAUUUACUGGGUGUAAAGGGAGCGCAGGCGGCGCGUUAAGCCUGGUGUGAAAGCCCGGGGCUCAACCCCGGGACUGCAUUUGAAACUGUCAGGCUGGAGUGCAGGAGAGGUAAGUGGAAUUCCUAGUGUAGCGGUGAAAUGCGUAGAUAUUAGGAGGAACACCAGUGGCGAAGGCGGCUUACUGGACUGUAACUGACGUUGAGGCUCGAAAGCGUGGGGAGCGAACAGGAUUAGAUACCCCCGUAGUG
RNAcentral lists this ribosomal RNA (449 nucleotides) under uncultured bacterium. Its description in RNAcentral is "bacterial SSU rRNA". It matches the Rfam family "Bacterial small subunit ribosomal RNA", at positions 330 to 795 of the family's 1533-position model. The record is from RNAcentral.